CAGAGGGUGUGAGCGUUAAUCGGAUUUACUGGGCGUAAAGCGUGAGUAGGUGGCUCGCCAAGUCGAUUGUGAAAGCCCUGGGCUCAACCUGGGAAUUGCAGUCGAUACUGGUGAACUAGAGUUCGGUAGAGGGUGACGGAAUUCCCGGUGUAGCGGUGAAAUGCGUAGAUAUCGGGAGGAACAUCGAUGGCGAAGGCAAUCACCUGGGCCUGAACUGACACUGAGACACGAAAGCGUGGGUAGCAAACAGGAUUAGAUACCCUGGUAGUCCACGCCGUAAACGAUGGGAACCUGACGUCGGUUUGCUCUGCGAAUCGGUGUCGUAGCUAACGCGCUAAGUUCCCCGCCUGGGGAGUACGGCCGCAAGGUUG
RNAcentral lists this ribosomal RNA (371 nucleotides) under uncultured organism. RNAcentral's name for it is "bacterial SSU rRNA". It matches the Rfam family "Bacterial small subunit ribosomal RNA", at positions 526 to 896 of the family's 1533-position model. The record is from RNAcentral.